Molecule: non-coding RNA, 76 nt
Filed under: Paenibacillus sophorae
Lineage: Bacteria; Bacillati; Bacillota; Bacilli; Caryophanales; Paenibacillaceae
Source: RNAcentral
GAAAGCCGUAUGAGGGAAAACCUCAAGUACGGUUUGAUGAGGAGGGGCUGGGCUAUUACCAGCCCUUUACUCUAGU